ACGCUGGCGGCAGGCCUAACACAUGCAAGUCGAGCGGAAACGACACUAACAAUCCUUCGGAUGCGUUAAUGGGCGUCGAGCGGCGGACGGGUGAGUAAUGCCUAGGAAAUUGCCUUGAUGUGGGGGAUAACCAUUGGAAACGAUGGCUAAUACCGCAUAAUGCCUACGGGCCAAAGAGGGGGAUCUUCGGACCUCUCGCGUCAAGAUAUGCCUAGGUGGGAUUAGCUAGUUGGUGAGGUAAUGGCUCACCAAGGCGACGAUCCCUAGCUGGUCUGAGAGGAUGAUCAGCCACACUGGAACUGAGACACGGUCCAGACUCCUACGGGAGGCAGCAGUGGGGAAUAUUGCACAAUGGGCGAAAGCCUGAUGCAGCCAUGCCGCGUGUAUGAAGAAGGCCUUCGGGUUGUAAAGUACUUUCAGUUGUGAGGAAGGGGGUAACGUUAAUAGCGUUAUCUCUUGACGUUAGCAACAGAAGAAGCACCGGCUAACUCCGUGCCAGCAGCCGCGGUAAUACGGAGGGUGCGAGCGUUAAUCGGAAUUACUGGGCGUAAAGCGCAUGCAGGUGGUUCAUUAAGUCAGAUGUGAAAGCCCGGGGCUCAACCUCGGAACUGCAUUUGAAACUGGUGAACUAGAGUGCUGUAGAGGGGGGUAGAAUUUCAGGUGUAGCGGUGAAAUGCGUAGAGAUCUGAAGGAAUACCAGUGGCGAAGGCGGCCCCCUGGACA
RNAcentral lists this ribosomal RNA (723 nucleotides) under Vibrio sp. 12F03. RNAcentral describes it as "bacterial SSU rRNA". It matches the Rfam family "Bacterial small subunit ribosomal RNA", at positions 33 to 735 of the family's 1533-position model. The record is from RNAcentral. Lineage: Bacteria; Pseudomonadati; Pseudomonadota; Gammaproteobacteria; Vibrionales; Vibrionaceae. RNAcentral also lists the same sequence under 3 other names.